AGCCUGCCUGCUGCCAGUUCUCCCUACUUCUGCCAGUGAUGACAUUCAGCUUGCUCCUCCACACAGGAUACAGCACUGAUUCCUCAUUAUGUAAGGCAGUCUAGGUCAAGUGUAGGAGAGACACUGCUGGCCUGAGCAAGCUAGUGGAUUGCUCCCUGAGCUUCAUGCUUCAUGAGGUCUGGAAGCUGGAUCCUGAUCUUUGCUACAUCUGCUUGGCACAAGAAAUUGGCCAGGUGGACAUCAAGCUCUUUCAGCGUCUUUUCUAAAAUGGAUUUCUUCUCUGCUCCUUGUCUGAGUAU
RNAcentral lists this long non-coding RNA (299 nucleotides) under Numida meleagris (helmeted guineafowl). Its description in RNAcentral is "lncRNA (ENSNMEG00000022788.1)". The record is from RNAcentral. Lineage: Eukaryota; Metazoa; Chordata; Aves; Galliformes; Numididae.